RNAcentral lists this ribosomal RNA (496 nucleotides) under uncultured bacterium. Its description in RNAcentral is "partial 16S ribosomal RNA". It matches the Rfam family "Bacterial small subunit ribosomal RNA", at positions 29 to 507 of the family's 1533-position model. The record is from RNAcentral.
AUGCACGCUGGCGGCGUGCCUAAUCCAUGCAGGUCGAGCGAACGGACGAGAAGCUUGCUUCUCUGAUGUUAGCGGCGGACGGGUGAGUAACACGUGGAUAACCUACCUAUAAGACUGGGAUAACUUCGGGAAACCGUAGCUAAUACCGGAUAAUAUUUUGAACCGCAUGGUUCAAAAGUGAAAGACGGUCUUGCUGUCACUUAUAGAUGGAUCCGCGCUGCAUUAGCUAGUUGGUAAGGUAACGGCUUACCAAGGCAACGAUGCAUAGCCGACCUGAGAGGGUGAUCGGCCACACUGGAACUGAGACACGGUCCAGACUCCUACGGGAGGCAGCAGUAGGGAAUCUUCCGCAAUGGGCGAAAGCCUGACGGAGCAACGCCGCGUGAGUGAUGAAGGUCUUCGGAUCGUAAAACUCUGUUAUUAGGGAAGAACAUAUGUGUAAGUAACUGUGCACAUCUUGACGGUACCUAAUCAGAAAGCCACGGCUAACUACGUG